Long non-coding RNA from Dromiciops gliroides (monito del monte), 1517 nucleotides. RefSeq lists it as uncharacterized. The transcript is spliced from 3 exons. The record is from RefSeq and is a predicted model, not a curated record. Lineage: Eukaryota; Metazoa; Chordata; Mammalia; Microbiotheria; Microbiotheriidae.
ACCUUGCUAGUGCUCCCGGUGUGUAGGUGUCUGCGCAUGUGUGUGCGAGAGUGUGCGAGGAUGUAUGUGAGUGUAGUAAGAUGCCAGGCAAGGUAACUGCUCAAGCAGAGGCUGGAUGCCAAGUCAGCAUGUGUGUCGGGAGUGAGCCUGGCCUAAGACGCUUCCUUUCCAGUGAACUUGGGAUUCCAAGAAGGUCUAGGAGCUGUCCUAGCCCCUGUCAACAGUCUUGGGAGGCCCAGCCCUGAGGAAAGGAAGAAGGGACUGGGGUGGGGGUGGGGGGGAGCAGCUAGUGGCCCCACCCGGCAGCCUGAGCUCCCUCCCUGGGCCCCCAGAUAGAAGCUUAUCGCGCUGCUCACCCUCACACUUCCUCAGAGUCGUGGAUAGCCAAGUCAUGGAGAGUGGGCCGGCCAGACAUGUUGGCAGGGACAGCUCCCCCACCCCCACCCCCCGGGCAGCGGGUGCUGGAGGAACCUGGAGCCAAGGCCGAGGGGCUGACGGAUGGGUGACCAGGUGAAGCCAGCACUGGACAGCGCUGCCCGCCCGGGGAGGAGGAGGACCUCACCGGUAGCGGUAGCCCGGGCCCCGAGGGCUGAUUUCAGCCGAAUGUUUGGAAGAAUUUCCCCGCUUAGGAGCGCUGCCCCUGAGCGGGCCAGGAGAGCAGCCUCCGGCUGCGGGGCUGGGGGCUGGGGCCCGGCGUGGAAGUUGCCAUCCAGCCGCCGCCGCUGCCUCGGUAUCCUCUACCGUCGCUGCCACCUGGAACACCAGCUCCUCUUCUGGAUCUGAGCUUCGGGGUCAAAUCCAGCUUCCAAAACCCAGGGUUUCCCUGGGCUAGUCACUCGAUCGGUUUGCCUUAGUUGCCUCAACUGUAAAAUGGGAUCGGAAGAGCGCCUCGGGCGCAGGGUUGUUGGGAGGGUCAUUUGAAAUCACCUUCGUAAAAGCAUUGCGCUCAGUGCCAGGCACACCGGAAGUGCCCCGUGCGCGCCUCUUCUCUUCCUCCUGCCCUUGGGUCUCCAGUGAAACCCAGCAUCUUCAGGAAUCCUCCCCAACCCGAGGCAGGCAGGAGGAUGGCGACGGGGCAGACAGCGGCCUGCACUGCUCCCCUACGUGGCCACUUUUCUGCCACUUGCAGGCUCCUUCCCAGAGAAAACAGGAACCCCACAAAAUGGAGCAUCCUGCGGGCUUUGCUGUCAUCGUUCUGUCCGCCAAGAACAGCCCUAGCCCUUCUCUCUCUUCCCCCAGCAUUGAGAAUGUUUUUGUUUUAAUUUUCAGUCCUCAGCUUCCUUUGGUCCCUCUCACCCUCCAUCCUGUCGCAGUUCAUUUGGAGCUAUUGCAGCUCCGAUGUUCUUUUGACAAGACCUGCCCCGCUGAAGGUCAUUUCCUGACCCCACUUCCCUCCUCUGUCCAUUUCUUUUUAAAAUCUAAGGUGGUUGCUUCGACCCAGCAAUACCACUACUAGGUCUGUAUCCCCAAGUGAUCAUACAAAAGGGAAAAGGCCCCACAUGGACAAAAAUAUUCAU